CUCUCACCCUUCCGGCGGUCUCUUUUCAUGAACUUGCUUUCAUGGAUGAUGUUUAAUCUUUUUGCCGUCAAUUUUCUCGAUUUGGAGCGUUUCCCCGCGGAUCAGGGCUGAUUCGGAUAUUUUCUGCCGGGAAAAAUUAGUUAUUUGGCCUUCUUGAAUGAUUGCGAUCUGGGCCCAGUUGUAUGGUGUUAGGUUUUUCAGCUUCGGCUGGGGAGGGAAAUUUAUGAGAUUGGCAGGUGUUGCGAUGCAUAUUCGUGAAUGUCCUCGAUCUGGUCCAAGAUUAUGCCUUUGUAUUAAUUGAUUGGAUCUGCUCUGGUGGUGCAGCAUGGUGUACUAAGUAGCAUGGUAUAUAUACCGGGUUUUGUGCAUAGUUGUAACUCACUAACUGUAUGGCCGUACACAUUGUUGCUAAUCCACAGGGGUUUUUGUGCCUUUGCAUGCCUACUUUAUUACUUUUUGCUAAUAUGACAUGCUUAAAAUUGUAAGCUAAUGAUAUUACCUUUCUACAUGAAGUUAAUGAAUGUAUUUUUAUGCAUGUUGGAAAAAAUUAUCUGUAAUUUUAUCUUACAAUAAGUUUUUCCUUCUAAAAGUAAGUUUUUUCCAUUAUGUUUGUCGCUGGUGUUUGCAUGGGUGAAAAGGUUUAGGAUUUGUUGAUUGUGCUCCUCUUGUGCUUUCACUGUGUUUAAAAAAGAAAACAACAAUCUUAUCUGGAGUGGUGAUAUACUGCUAAAGUGAAGGCAUAUAUAAAACAAGUUGGAUGCCAUAUAGUUAAACAACAGAUAAUUCAAGGCAGGAUAGAAGAGAAGUAAAAUACAAGAACCACAAUUACUAGAGAUAAAUAACUAAUUUACAGGCUAAAUGAACUAUAAAUGAUGUUAUGUGACUUUAUGAUUACUCAACUCAGCUACACCUUAAUUCCAAACUAGUUGGGGUCCACUACCAUGCAAUAAGGAAAAUUUAUUCCCCUUAAUUACCUUUUUGCCCCUGUUCACUCUUUCAUCUAACCAAAGAAGGAGGGCAAUUUUGUCUUUGUGAUAAAAUCCAAAUCCCCCAUGAAAUUCAGUGGAUUGUAUCCACUCUGCGACCAUCCCUUCAAACAAACACCAAAUUCCUCCUAUUCUGUGGUAUAAUUCUAUUCCUCUGCAUCCAAAAUAUAAGCCACAAAAUUUUAUUUUGCCACCCAAACACAGCCUGAAGGUUAAAGAAGAAACACCUACAUGAAUUAGGACAUAAAUCAUUUGGAUGCAUGAAUGAAAAAUGAAUAGUUAAGCAGUUAUUUAUUAAAAAAAACAUGCAUACUGGAUACACAUCUAAAAACUAGAAAUUGACAAAAAGUUACCCUGCCUGUUAGGAAGCCCUACUUUCUAGAGUCCACCGGUCAUGUUUCACAGUCCAAGAUCUCUCUUCAUUGUCUUCCAAAAAACAGAACUUUUCCAUAAAUUCCAAAUUAUCCAGCAAUUGGUUCUAAACUUUUCCUUGAUUCUCUCUCAACUGCUUAGGCUAUUUCCUUUUCACCAAAUUAUUUUUAACAUUUCCACCAAAAAUGCUACUCAUCUUCCAUUGAUUUCCACUCAGCCACUCUUCAUGAAAUGCUGAACUAUUGGGCUUGCUAUCCAGUCAAGGACCCAAGUUUCUUAUUUUUGCAAUAUGAGAGGAGUUUCCUAAGAGCACUAGCCUCAUGAACUUCUUGUUCCAGGUUAGCUGUUGAAGUCCAUGCUUGAAUCCUUGAUAGGCAAGAAGUCAUAGAUGGAAUUCAUAGUGUAACCUUCCGGGCCUUUGCUCUGAACACCCUUAUCUUUUUAUUGCUUUCAAAUUGUAUAUUCUUCCUAUCGAAGUUAAGAUUGUAAUUGUUUCCACUAUUCUUUCUUUAUUUUAUCAUAUUCUUAAUGCAGGUUAGAGUUCUUUGUGACAAGGCUAAGGAAAUUUUGAUAGAAGAAAGCAAUGUCCAGGUAAGUUAUAUGUUUUUCUCCUUUGCUAGAUUUUAUUACUUCUUGCUGUAGUUGUUUACAAAUAUAUGAUAGUGAACUGAAUCUUGAACAUAACAGUCACUGGAGUGCUGUCUUUGCCCUUUUCCUUUUGCAUGAAGUAUGUAGUAAUUGUGGCAAAAUAGAUGAGACACGAUUAUGGAAUUAAAGAUGAAGAUUGAGCAAAUGUUAAAUUCAGUUAUAAUUUCUCACGUUAGUGUGCUAUUGCCCAUAGAUAUUGGCAUCCUUUUAUUAGUUCAUAAAUUUUAAUGGCAUUAUUUUUGCUCUGGUGGAGCUUCUCUAUUUGAGAUUAAAUAAUAUAACUUCUUUGUUGUAGUUUGUAGAACGAAGUGACAAUUAUAAUCUUCUUGAGUGUUCUUAAUGAAAUUAAACUAUGUUUUCAGAAGAGUAAUAUAGCUUUUUACAAAUGUUACACAAUGACUGCAUAACAAGACUUGAGUUUGUUGUGAGACCAAUCUAAAAUAUUUCAAUAUAAUUUAUAUCCUUGUAGUCUUUUACAUGAUACUUUUAGGUCCUUUUUGCAUGACCUUUUGUUAUCCUGUGAAGUUCAAUCUACAUGCUUUGAGCUUAUCAUAUUUUAACUAGAUAGGAUCCAAACAGGUUGACUUGAUCCUAAAAUAUCAUGUUAUUUCAAGAGAAAAACACUGGAUCUAUAAAGGGAGCUAAUAUAAAUAAUGCUGAAAUCAUUAAUCAUCUAAAUUGAGAGACAAAUUAGGAAAGCUCUUAAGAAUAUGUUUAGACACUAUGCUGGUUGUUGUUUUUCUUUCAUCUCUAACAAUCAAUGAACUAUAUAACCUUCACGUACUAUUAAGCCAUUUAUGUUUUCAAAACAAACUUAGUGGUUAUGUAAAUUAUUCUGGAUGGAGGUUUACAGUAAUGUUGAUUUUUAAGUCAUUGCAUAAUAGAGUAAUUCUCCUAAUGCUAUCAUUAUGCAACACCUUGAAAUAGUUUGUGCCACUUUUCUCCCAAAAAUCAAAUUGAUCUUAUUUAAGAAUUUAGAUAAUGGUAUGCAUCGGCCCAGGCUUAUGUAUUGUAUCUUGUGUGAUGGUUCAUGGUAGUUAGCUUCGACCAAGGUAUACCAUACUGUACCGAACUAAAUGGUAUAGGGCAUAUUGCAUCGUACUGGUUCGGUACCGAUACGCGGUAUGGGAGCGUAUUGACACUCGAUGUGCCAAACCGGCCCCUGUACUGGGCAUAUUGGCACAAUAACUAGGUGGCACUAAUAUGAGUUUUGGUACCGAAAUGGCGUAUCUUGUCUUGGACCAUAUAUACAUGUACUAACAUCCAUUUCCUAAAACGAAUCUUUGCACAUGAUUAGGUUUGCACUAGCAUGACAAACAGUAUGAUACUAUAGCAUGUUGACCGAUGUCUACUGUGGGUACAAACCAUGAUAUUUAGUUCAAUAUUGGUAACUAGAAUGCUGACUUCAAGGAGUUGAUGAAAAUAUAUGAAUAUAGUUCACAUCAAGGUUUCAAAUCUCAAUUGGUUCUUACCUAUUGACCCUAUGUGGCUCGUUCAUCCACAUGGGGGUAUCAUCCAGUUUAACAAAUUAUGAGUUGAUGCAAAGGCGUACUGCAUCGUGUAUGUACUGGUAUGUGAAUGGUAGAGGGGGUUUACUGCUGUAUUUGAAACAUUGGUUUGUCGCUUGCUUAUGAUCAAGUAAAGAUGAAAAACAUAGGUCUACUGUGUAAACUAACUUGUGCUUGUAUAGUAUAUCAUUUUGGAUCCUUCCACAUUAUCAAAGUAGUUAUAGUGAUUUGCAACCAAGAUAACAUAGGUCAACCGGAAGUUAUAAACCAAGUUGAGUUUGUAUAGUAUAUGGUUUUGGAUUCUUCCAUAGUAUCCAAGUUGUUGUAGUGAUCUGCAACCAAGAUAAUUAUAGGAUACUCCAUUUACUCUCAAUGAUGUGCGUGGAUGUUGUGGCUAUAGUAAUUGAUAUUAAUCCUACAUAAUGUAAUGGUUGCAUGGAGUCCCUAGAUUAGUUGAUGGAGCACCCCCAACAUACGUAUCUUCAAUUUUGUCGCCCUUAUUUUUUUUUGCUUCACCAUCUUGGUCAUGACUAUCUAUGGUUUGCCGAAUCGGGCUGUACCGCCCGGUUCAGGUAGUAUCGAACCGAUCCAGUGCAAAAUCGGGUCGGUUCACUAAUUGAAUUCGGUUCCGGCCCCUACAGAUCGGAACCACAAAGGGACCGGCCGAAACCAGUCCUUUACCGGUCGGUUCCGACCGGUUCGAUGUCGACUCGACCCGAUUUUAGAUAUCAGUAUGUAUGUUAGAUUUUAAAAGUAUGUAACUGAUUGUAUUUUGAUUUGAGAAUAUUUUAUGUUGUUCAUUUUAUGAUUUGUAUCAUUUUAAAGCAAUAAGAUGCGUUAUUUAGGUUAAAAUAGGAUCAGAGAAACAUCAAAAAAAUAUCAUAUUAGACUUAAAUUCAUAAAAAAGUUCGAAAAGAGUGAGAACUGUAAAAAAAAUUAGGGUGUGCCGGUACCAGUCUGGGAACCGGCACACCCUACUGGUCGGUCGAUUUGGUUCGGCUCGAACCAUAUCAGGCGCCGACCGGUAUGGGUUCUGGUACCAGUUCGGCAGACCUUGUGACUACCAUGAAGCUGAUCAACAUAUUUAUCAUAGUUGUUAUCAUGCUCAUCCUUUAUGUCGUUUGUUUAAUUUCAGGUCUCAAAACUUGGUCAUUGUCUUUUGGAUCGUUGAUUGUUUCUCCUUGCCUAAGUAAUUGGCAUAACUUAAUGCAAGAAGGUCUAGAUAGCAGUGCCAAUGCUACGAGUGAAGAAAUGGCAUCUUGUGACCCUAUUUCGUACCUCCAGCUAAUCUUGUUUUGUAUUCAGUAGGAUGGCUGAGAAGCAAAAAUGUUUAUGCUGUUCUUGAUAAGCAUGUAAUGGUAAAUGGAGUAACAAUUUUCUCAGGAGAAGGGAGAAACAAGAGAAGGGAGCAAUGGCAAAAAAGGAAGAAGGGUUUAUAAAGAAGAAGAAUAGAAAAAGAGAAAUAAGAGGAAAAGGUAAGGGAAGAAGAGGGAAAAUAGCGGGUGAGAAUCAAAGGAAGAGAUUUUAGUGAACAUCAUCAUAAUAAAUUCUCAUGAUUCCCUUCGACAUAGUGUGGAUGUGGACAUCGUGUAGAAAAAGACUAGCUUUUUGUGAAGAUAAAGAGACGAGGGGUUCCUAAAAUGAAAGAAAAGAAUAAGGCAUGAUUUGAGACGAGGAAGGCAAUAUAUAUAGAACUACCAUAAUAAAGUUACACCCAUGAAUCUUAAAAUCUUCAAAUAUUUAUCUACACAUCCUUUCUUAUGUGACUAAACAAAUCCUCAAUUAUUUAAGUUCUAUAGGACUUUUGAUCCUGACUUAAGAUCUAAUCACAAGUCAUACAAAAUGCUAUAAGCUAUAAGCUGAAACCUUUAACCAAAAUGUUAUGGAAAAAAUGAAACAAAUCUGUCUGUGAAUUACAUCUGCAACUUUUAACUAGUGUAUGACCCUUAGGCAUUAGAAUUUGGUAAUGUUUGAAAAGCUCCACCUAGGCACCGGCCUAGGGAGGUCACCUAGGUGCUUCCCUAGGAGGGGUUACUCAAUAGCGAAGGUGUCAACUUUAAUUUUUGCAUCAACUUUGGGCAAGGGGACUGAGGUCGAUUUAAGAAAUUGUAUGGAAUAUUGCCAAGUCGGUACUUUCCAUUGACUUGAUAUAUUUUAAUUGGCAUGUUAUGCUUCAUUUUUUAGAUACACGACUAUUUUUUUCUUUUACAUAUCUUUUGUUUAUAUUAGUAUUUUCAAUGAAUUUUGUUGGCAUUAUCUUGGCCUCUGGUUGCCUAUCUAGGCACCUGCCUAGCGCCUGUGUGCUAGGCAGCCCAUUUUCCGCCUCUGUUGAAUACAAUCCUGCCUAGCACCUAGGUGCCAGGCAGCCCACUUGUCACCUCUGCUGGCUACAAAAAAACAUUGGAGUUUGGCUAGUUAUCAUGAAAUAUCGCACAUAGGUCUUGAGUAGAUAUUUUCAAAGAGUCUGAGAUUGUUCAAAUUCAAUGACUAGACAGACAAGAUUAUCUUGUGGAAGCUUGAUGAUUUAUUUUUUUACUACAAUACCCCUCAGUUUGCCCAUGGAUGACCCAAAGCUUUGUGCCACAUCAGUUAUUACUCUAACCAGCUUUUUAACUUUGCUGACACCAUCAGCAUAUGAUCAUCAUCAAUAUAGAUAUCAGAAGGCCCUGAAUGACCUACUAGUUCUCAAAAAAAAAGGACUCCCAAUUCAUUAUAGUCUAACAUCCCAUCUUAAGUAAUAGAACAUACAAAUAUGUACACUCCUAUAUACAUGUGUAUGCACAGAUGCAUGAAAUUGGGUAGCCGUGUUUGCUUUACUAUCCUUGUGUGCACGUUGUAAUACCUGGGCCCAAAAAUCAACUGGGCCUAAUACUACUUUUUGGGCCUAUAUUUGAGCAUUUGGGCCAUGACAUCAAAUAGGCUAACUGGGCCCAUGAUUGGCAGCCCAUUUGAUGGCUGUCACCUCAUGCUAUGUGCAUGGAAGUGACUAGGGCCAGGUGGGAAUCAGAGGAGGGCCCUGCUCUUAGACCCUCCACGGGGGGGAAGCUGGGGGUGACUUGACAGCUCACCCCAGCUAAAGCGGUUACCACCACUUAAGGACCCUACUUCUAGCCCUUACCGUUCUUCUCCUCCUCCUUGAGGGAGCCCUUGAACCAGCGGGAGCAAGGACUGUUGCAGUUCAUUCCCGGAGCCCGGUAAGCCCCGAAUCAUGUUAUUUUCCUACUUUCAUCUCCCCUGUUUUCAAAACAAAACAGAGUAGAAACUCCACGGCUCUCGGCCGCAGCCGUUACUGGCUCUCGGGUGGGGGCGGCAGUCAGGCCGGAGUCCCGUUUCCCUCCUUAUCUUCAGUGGGGCAGAGGACCUUAGUGAGGAGAAGAAGGGAAACGGAAAGAAAAGGAGGAAAGAAAGAAAGGAAGAAGAAAAAGGAGAGAGGGAAGAGGAGACUCACCCGUGUGCGGCCGCGAGCAUCGCCGGCGCCGUGGGUCCCUGCUGCGGGCUCUUCCUCUCCCGAGUUCUCUCUCUCUUCUCUAUGGGAGGGAGAGAGGGUCGGCCACCAUGGGCCGCGGCCGCUGCAGGCGCUACAGGCGUCGCCGGCCGGCCUUAAGUUGGCCCCCCUCCUGAGCCCCGGCAUGGGGUCGCCCCCUUUAUGGUCACGGAAGAAGAGAGGGAAAGCGGAGAAGAAGGGAGGAAAGAAAAGAAGAAGGCAAGAAAAAAAGAAAGAAAAGAAAGAAAAGAAAGAAAAGAAAGAGAGAAGAAAAGAGGAAAAGGGGACUCACCGGUGUGACGUCGCGUGCGGCGGCUGCCGGCUUCGGCUGCGAACGCCGCCGACGCGGGCAUCGGCCGCAGGCCGGUCGAGGAUGCGGGUGUCGAGCGUCGGCCGCAGGCAUGGCCGAGGACGCCGCGAGCCCGGCCAUGGGCGCAGCCGGCCGUGGCCCGUCCUCUCCCGAGCUCGCUUUCCUCCCUUAGCGUGAGAAGAAAGGGGGAAGGAAAAGAGGGAUCGAGAGAGAAGGAAGGAAAGAGAGGAGGAGGAGAGGAAACUUCGGGAAGAAGAAAAGAAACAGAGAAGAAAAGAAAAAGGAAAGAAAAAGAAAAGAAGGAAAAAGAAAAGAAAAAGAAAAGAAGAAAAAAAAGAAAGAAGAAAAGAAAAGAAAAAAGAAAAGAAAAGAAAAGAAAAGAAAAGAAAUGAAUAACCCUUAACGGAUCCGGUCUAACGGGUUGGAUCUAGGCUGUUGGGUCUAAGACCCAUUAAAACUGAAACAGGUUUUGGAUGGGUUUUAAAGUUAAUUGGAUUCGAGCCCAAUCAGUUUGGGCUGAAUCAAAGUGAACCCGUUAGGCCCAAAUAAAAGAAAAGAAAAGCAAAGUUUAGCCAAAUUUGACUAAACCCGAGCCCAAUCAGAUUGGGCUAAGUCUGGACGAGUCCACACUAUAAAUUGGGUUAAAUCCGAACCAAAUUAAGUUAAAUUGAAUUGGGUCCGAACCCAAUUAAGCUGAGUUGAUCUCGGCGGACCUAAUUGAUUAUGAAUCAGGCCCAAUUCAAGCUCAAUUCAACUGACAGAAGGUCAAAUUGACCUUAGGCUAAUUCUGACUCAGGCCCAAAUGAUCCACAUUGACCAAAUCAGGAAACCCAAUUGGCUAGAAAAGGCUGGACCCAAUCAUGAACCAGGCCCAAUCCUUUAAUUAAAAACCCAAUUAACCCAUGUGGAUCCAAUCUGGUUUUAAAUCGAACCCCAAAGGCUUCAAAUUGGGUAAAUUGGACUUGGGCUAAAUUCUUGGAUGGGAUCCAAGCAAGUAAGUUCAUAGUAUAUUGAACUAAGAAAUUAUAUAAAAAUAAUUAGGGAAUAAUGUGAUCCCUAUGAUGUUGUUUUAGGUGAUUAAGGAUUUGUCACCUGGACUUGAGAAAUUUGGAAAGCGAAUUGAUGUAAGUAACAUGUCCUAAUCUUCUAUGGAUCACACAUGUAAGUAACCUGUUCUAAUCCUAUUUUGGAUCAUGUCAUGUUUAUUAAUAGUUCCUAAGUGUUAUUCAAGUAUAUACUUCAUGUAUGAUAUGUUAUGAAAAGUAAGUGACUUGCCUUAAUCUUUUAUGGAUCAUGUUAUGUUACAUGAAUUAUCAAUGUAUAAGUUAUUUGUAUGCAAGUAGCCUGCUCUUUAAUCUUAAUAUGGAUCAUGUGAGCAUCAUGUUUAUUAAGAUCUUCUAAGUAUUGUUCAUAUACAUACUUUAUGUGUAGCAUACUAUGAAAAGUAAGUAACAUGCCUGAUCUCAUAAAUUAUGGCUAUGCAUGCAUCAUGAUUAUGCUGGUUUUUAAAUAUCAUGCAUGCAAGUUAAUAUAGCAAAUUGCAUCUAGCUAAGGGUACGAUUGUAGGAGGUAUUGUGGGCCCUUGAUGCUAUGGGCUGAAUGCAACUGAGCCGGCCUUGCCAAUGGCCGAGAAUGACUGAGCCGGCCCCGCCAGUGGCUGAUAAAAAAUUGAGCUGGCCCCACCAGUGACCGUUAAUGAAUUCGCCCUAGCAUCCAAGAGGUACUAUUAAUGGGCUUAAAGAUGCUACUGAUCGAAUGCAACUGAGCUGGCCUUGCCAGUGGCCGAGAAUGACUGAGCCGGCCCCGCCAGUGGCUGAUAAAAAACUGAGCUGGCCCCGCCAGUGGCCGAUAAUGACUUCGCAGUAGCAUCUGAGAGUAUGGACAACGGCAUGCCGGGGGUAUGGUUUUUAUAUAUAUAUUCUUAUGAAUAAUUCUUGUUGACAUAAAGCACUAAUUUGUUCACCUAAUAUGAAUAUUUUAUCAUGAUGAAUUGUUAGACAGUAUACAUGUCAGCUUCUCAAACCCUGUUUAAACAUGUUUAGCAUAUUAAUUGAUCCGAUAAGAUUAUGCAAGAUUACUUACUGAGCCGUGUAGCUCAUAUCCGUUUAUUUAUAUUUUCUUUCAGAUCCUCAACAGUGAUCGCCAUCAGGAGCGUUUUUCUUUUGUAACAGGGCUUCUUUAUUUUUGGGAAGAAUACAUAAACUAUAUAGAAGUUCUGUAUUUUGUAUCAACCAGCAGGUUGUAAUGCAAGCAAUUUAAUACAUGAAAGUUUGAUUUCUUUUAGCUACCUGUUACCCUUGUAUGAGGCUUCGUGCUAUUGUGGGCGGUAGUCGGCAAUAGCAUGGCCGUGUCACGGAUCCGGAUCCGAGGCGUGACACACGCAAUCUGAUUUGUUGACAUAUAAAAUUAUGUGCACUUGUUUUUUUAAAAAAAUGUGGUUAAAUCUUUUAUUCUUUGCUAAAAAUGCUUUAGAUGCGUGAUACUUUGUAGAAUGUUUUAGAUGUGUGAUGCUUUAUAGUAUUGAUUAUGUCAUGACUGAAGGUGGAACAAUGGACAAAAUGAGAAAAAUUUUGUUUGUUUAACCAUUCAUGUCCUCUACAGAAGAACAGAAGUAUGAACUGAUGUGUUAGAUUACAAUAUUAUAAUGGAGUCAAAUAUAUCCAAUCAUCAAUAUAUAUUGACAUCUCUUUUAUAUUCAUUUUUUCAUGCUUAACUCGAUUGUCAUUUCCUACUGAUCUUAUCUUUGGGAACUGCUAUAGUGUAUUGUUAACUUAGCAUUAAUACUGCAUGUGAAUUUCUUUUAUAUACACUAUUUUAGUAUUUUCUGUUAUUUUGAAGUUCAAAAUUUGAACUGUUUGGGUGAACAUUAUUUGUAUGCAUUGAUAUUUCAGAGUAUAUGCAAAGCUUGUUAUAACAAAUCAAGAUGAAAUCUAAUGACUCAAAAAAUUAUAUCUUUGACUAUGUAGAUAUGCGAAAGAUAGAUUAUGGUACAUGUUGAGAUUAAGCUAUUUUUCUUCCCUGUUUUGCAGCCUGUGAAAAGCCCUGUGACAAUAUGUGGUGACAUUCAUGGGCAAUUUCAUGAUCUUGCAGAGCUAUUUCGGAUUGGUGGAAAGGUAUUUUCCUGAAAGAUGACUUUUUCUCUCUGUUUUUUUUUUGUUUGUUUUUAUGUCAUCUGACAAAGUUUUUCAAGAAAAUGAAUAUUAAAGAUAAAUAGAGUUGAUAUGUUGUAAUCAUUGCAAUUCCUUAUGAAAUUCUCAUUAUUCAGAAGUAGUUACAUAUUUGACAAUUUGCUCGAGAAUCCCGUGUUUAUUUUCAUUAGGGAUAAUAAAUAUCAAAACAAUUGGUUCUUAGAUGUGAAUUUAGGGCCUCUUUGGAUGCUGGCACAAGUUAUGUGGAUCAUAGGUUUUUCACAGCAGGAAAGGGUGGGGAAAAGAAUCUGGUUUGAAGGAGAAGUUAGUUGAUGAAUGGAAUCCUUAACAGAGUCCUUUAUACUUAUUAUCUAUUUUUUCUGGGAUAAUUAAAUUACCUUUUGAGCAGAAUGCAUUGGCUUAUUAAUUUGGGCAUUGUGGGAUCUGUGGUUUCUUCCGAUCCCCAAGAUUACCCCAGAUUAUUGCCUUUCGUUGCUUCUCUCCAUUGCCUCACUGGGGGGAAGCUAUCAGUGGAUACAGUAAUCGGUCAUCAAAACAGGGCCUGAAUGGUUUGCUCAUAUCAAGAUGAUAUAAAUUAACCACUAAGCAUAAAAGAAAUAGAUAAUGUCCAGCAGGUACCAGCACCAAACAAAGAGAACAACAGUCUGAAUAAUUAAAAUGUACAGUUUGAUGAGAACAUUGAUUGCCACUAUCAACUGUUUGCACGUUUUAAUCUGCUGUUUCUUACCCUGCCAAAUAGCCUCACAACUCUUCUAUGUUUAUUGGGAUAGCACAGGUUGGAUGUUUCUUCUUUUAAUUCUUUAUAGACCACUUAAGCUUGUUGACAUCUAAUUUUAGUGACUCGUAAUGCUGCAGGGAUCGUUCUUUACUAAUCAGUGUUGCAGUUAGCUAAUAAAGCUGAUGAUUAUAUUAAGCUGGUGUUUGCCAAGUUAUUUUUUGCUAUUUAAUAUUUCUUAAUUAAUGGCUCAAACAACUUGCCUGUUGUUUUAACAUAGUAUGCUUGUUUUCGUGUCUUUAUAUCCAGAAAUUGAAUGCUUUUCAUGCAUAUUGCCAAAACUGAAUCUUAUGAAUGUAGUAUUUUUGUUUGCUAGUGUCCGGAUACCAAUUACUUGUUUAUGGGAGAUUAUGUAGAUCGUGGGUAUUACUCUGUUGAAACUGUUACGGUAAGAGUUUGGCCUAAGCUUUCAUGUAUUUCUGCUUUAGUAUUUUUCUUCUGUUAACUGGUGCAUUGUUCAUUUCAUUUACAAUUUUUGUCCAACAGCAUGUAUUGGACUAUGAUGACCUUAUUGGCUGUAACCUCUGCUUUUUAAGGAAAUAAAUUUAGUGUUUCUGUAUCCUUUUUAGAUCUUUCUGUAUUUUAUUUGGGUGACAUGAGUGAUUGAAUAUUUUGAUAUUCACCAUGCAUUACAUUUUAUAAUUCCACUCCCCCACUUUUUUACAUGGAGAUGAUAGAUUCAUCCCAUAGUUUUCUUUAAAUGAUUGUGAACCUAAGACCGAAUUGAAUAUUUUGAUAUUUACCAUAAUUCCACUCCCCCACUUUUUUACAUGGAGAUGAUAGAUUCAUGCCAUAGUUUUCUUUAAAUGAUUGUGAACCUAAGACUGAACCUCCACCUUCUUUAUUCAGAAUAGGAAUCUGCAUGAGUGAUUGUCACGCCCUUGACCCGAGGUUGCGAGCCGGGGGUCGUGGCAAUCGCCACAUACUCAUAGGAAACUCUUCCCACGAGCUUGCAAGGCAUCUCGAUGUGAAAUCAUAAUCAAGCAGCAGAAUAAAUUUAAAUAAUUAACAUUCAAUCUUUAAUUUAAAUAACUAAUCAAAACUACGUCACACAAAACCAGCAAAAUUCUAAAGUCUUGCGUCAACUCUAAUGAAAUCUAAUCUAAAUAAAGAUAUCAAAAUCUUCAAAGUUGUUGCAUCAAAGUUUCAAAUAUCAAUAGAGUAGGACUGUAUAAAUUGCACCGUACUGUUCUGGCAAGCUUACGGUGCCGGUACAUAGUGCCUCAGUAUGAGACUUAAUCCCAUACCAUAUGUUGGUAUCUGGUACUGCACCAUUCUAGCAAAAAUUAGUCCAAGGUCUAGUACCAGUAUUUGUAACCUUGUGUCGCAUCAUGUAUUCUGUCCUUUGAUUGAUUGUUAAGUCUUUGAUUACAAUGAUUUAAAUCAUCAUUUGCAUAUAGAUUAUAUGUUUUUUUUGACUGUUGGUUGAUUAGCCCAUUUUCUUGUUGAUAGCUGGACCAUAUUUUGGAUGAAUGCUCUUGUUAUCAGUUGCAAUAAUAUGCUUACUUUCAGACAUGCAAUACUUAAGGUUCUGAUCUAUUUUUUUCAGAAUAUUUUGCUUCUCUCUCUUCUUUGAAUAUAGACUAGCAUGCAUGUCAGCUGGUCAUUGUUUUGAAUGUUGCACCAAUUUAAGUCAGAUAAGGCAGGCAUCUUGUAACAAUUUGUAGACUAGUUAAAUAGUAGUGAAAGAUCGGGAAGAAAAAGCCCUACAUAGAAGGCAUAAGUUUAGAUAAAUUUGUUUCAUGAAUUUUAUAAUAUCUUGGUUAGAGUAAUAUGAUGAUAUUUCCCUGGUUUCAGUGCAAUCAUCUUGUGUCAUUAAAUUGCAUUUUUAUUAGUUUAGGCUCAUAGAAUUUGGUAUAAUUUGCAUGCAUGCUCAUAAAAUUGACUCAUGUAUGGCUAGCUUUUGGUGGCCCUGAAGGUGCGUUACCCUCAACGCAUUACUAUCCUUAGGGGAAACCACGAGAGUCGUCAGGUACGUUAUUGACAUUGUUUUUUUUAAUGUAAUUUAGAUUCAGUUGAUUUUUUGAAUAUUAAAUAAAGUUAAUGUAACUGACUAAUUAUAAGUUCAAAAUUGAUAUCUAUUUGGAAAAUGUUGAACUAAUGAUCUUUUUGUUUUUAAUUAAAUUGCAGAUUACACAAGUUUAUGGAUUUUAUGAUGAGUGUUUACGAAAGUGAGUUCCUUGUUUGCAUAGUUUAUUAUUCACCAAUCUUGAUUUCAUAUAUGCCAUUCGUUGCCUAUUGGUAUGUGAAAUUGAUAUUGCAGAAUAUCCUCAAACAUCAUAAUAUGGUGCAAUUAUUAGUUUCUAUCUCAAUUGAUUCACUAGAUUAGUUGUACAUUUGAGGCACUAGGCAAAUGUCUGAUGUGAACCUUAAGGUAGAUCUUGUUGCAUGUAUGGGAAGUUCUCUAGAAGAUUUUUGAAAAUGGAGCACCAGAAAGGUGAAAAAUCUAGUUUGAUAUUUUGCAUGGUGGAAUUUUUUAAAAGUGAUGGAAGUGACUGUGAAUUAUGGUCCAGCAGGGCCAUGGUCUACGAUGGUGACUGUACAUGAGUUUAGUCAACCAUGGCCAACUUUUGGCAAACAUGAUUGUGAAAGUCCAAACGUGAUCACUGUCUCAUGGCCAUAGAUAACUUUCAAACUUUGUAAACACAUGACUUGUUGAAAGCAAGGAUUAAAUUUGAAUUUGAGUGACAUUAGUUCAGUAAUUCUGAACAUCAUGACGUGGGUCAAUAAAAUAACAGAUGUGAGUUCUGGUUUAAUCUUCAUGCAACCAAAGAGACUGUUGGCAGUUUCUCUCAAUUCUAGUGAUAAAAUACUCUUCUACAAUCUGAGCUUUUACUGAUUCAUGAUGUAUUCACCUAUGUUACCAUUUUUUCAAUAACCCUGCAUGACACGUAGCAGAUGCCAUAUUAGUUUUGAUUGCAUGUCAUUUUUCUUCUAAUUUAGUUUUCUGUUUCUUUUCUUUUUCCUUUUGCAUGAAGUUCUCUGUUCUAAAUGGGUAUUAUUUUUGAUAUUGUUGGAGAUUGUGUUCGGGUUGUUUUUGUUUUGGGGGGCAAGAGCUUGUCCAAUUAGUUAACAAACUGAGUUUCAGGUGGAGACCAGAGCUCAAAAUAGUUUCCUGCCAACCUUGAGAAUUGUGUAGCUUGUGUUUUGCUUGAUUUAGCUUGCUCUAUAAAAUAUACAGAUAUAUCAUUAUCAUAAGUUGCCUAUUUGUAAAUUAUUGUUGUUUUAUUCUUGUUGUAGAUUGUGUUUGGUUUGAUUUCUCGCUUUAUAUGAACUUGUGCAAAGCCAGAGACAAAGCUUAAAUAGUUUCCUUUGGAGCUUGAGUAUCGCAUAACUUGCUUACUCAGUUUAGCUUGAUCUAUACAAAUAUGUAAAAUACUUAAUUAUACAUUUAUAUAUAGAUUUCUUGAUCACAAUUUGUUUGAGUUAAAUAUGUUUUCGUGGUUCUCACCAAAUGCUUGAACAAGCUGUGCCUGAAUUGCUUUAGUGCGGCUCAGUUAAACCAACAGGACCCUCAUUCUCUUGCCCACCCUGUGAUUGGGCCUUUCAUGAGCAGUUAAAGUUAGGUUUGAAAUUAAUAAAGCUAACCUUGAGCAUGCCCUUGUUCGCUCAGGAUUAUUUGUUCAAGCACAGGGUCUCCUACCCAAGAAAAUAGUGGAUGUUUUGAUGCAUAGGAGCUAUUAUGUAUUUUUGGUCAAUGAAAUUCUAAAAAUUAAACAUUUUAACUUAUUGCUGUGGGAGUGGGUGAGCAAGUAACUCUUUGGUUGUGAACAUGUAUUUGUUAUAAAACAUUAGGAAUAAACUGAAAUAAACCCAUUUAGUGAUUAAGCAACAAAAUAUCUAAUCAUUGUAAUAAUAAAAGGAAGAUGCUAAAUGUACAGUUAUGGGAGAGACAGACAACCUGAAUGGUAAAACUUUGUCUGCUAGCAAGCCCAAUAAGUCUCUCUGGGAUGGUAGGACCGUAGGAGUAUAGUAGGAAAGGUUGUUAAAUUAUUCAUAUUGGUUAAGUCAAAAUGGUGACUAUUGUACUUUCCACAUUGAGUUAGUUUUAUUAAUUUUAUUGGAAGGAAGUGGUGUGCUAUCUUAGUUUAAUUAUGUUUUAUGCUUUUCUGUCUAGUUAUAUUUGAAAUCUGCAGUGGAAGUUCCAUCUUUUUCCUAUCAAAAGUAGAUACUUGAUAUGUACUGGUUCUAAGUGAGUGGAUCUGUUAUGCUUCUUUAUUAGAUUUUAUUUCUGGUCGAUAGAUCCUUUAAAGUUGCACUGACAUUCAGUUUUCCUAUUUGACAGAUAUGGUAAUGCAAAUGUGUGGAAGAUUUUCACAGAUCUUUUUGACUAUUUUCCGUUGACAGCAUUGGUUCGUGCUCUGAACUUGUGGUGACAUUCCUCAGCAUGAUAACUUCAUUUUCCAGAUUUUCCACAAUGAUUUAUUUAGACUAUGUCCUUGUGUGAUUAUUCUUUUUUGUGCUAUGGACAAAGCGAUCAGUAAUUUCAAGCAUCCUAUCCAUCCAUUAUUUAAAUAUUAAACUGGUCCAUACCAGAAUGAUUCUUCUGCACGGUUGUCAAGCUUAUAAAUUAUAAUAGCUUGUUCGUGAUUUACAUUUCAUUGGGAAUGAGUUUUGGUGACUGAUGAGAUUGGUUUCCAGUGGGCCUAAGUGGCAUAGACCAAAGCAAUUGCACUAUAAUAAUUGUUUGGAAAUUCAAGGCUUAUUAUGUAAUGAGAAUUAGUUUAUUUUUGUUGAAAAGGAAUAAUGCUUAUCUUGUUUUUUUUAUCAGCACUAUUUUAUAGCAAUGAUAAUUGACAUGGCAUUACUUUUGCAGCUGUGGGCUGAGCGAUAUAUUCUCUUCUUCAAGGCUUUUUAAUAAUUCGUAUUGUUUGAGAACAAAUGGUGUAAGCAGCACAGGAAAUCAUGGUUUCAUUUUUAGCUGGGCCAGCUUUUCCAUAGUAUUAAGUAGAAGUACUAGCUACAAGUGUUGUUCUCAUCUGAAAUUUGUUGUGGUGACAGUGCCACAAUUUAUGCUGAAUUAUUCAAGUCCGCAUGUAGCAAUAUGGCUAUGCAUGAAGCUUGGGUCUUCCAGCUGGAAACUUCUACUUUGGGUGGUGUACCCACUUUGGAAAUUGCACCUGCUUUGUAGGUGUUCCUUUAUUCUAGUUUACUUGAGAGGCCAAUUUUCUGGUAUUGGCAUGAGAAUCCACUCUGAUGCAUGGUCCUUUUCGGCAACGAACGGUUAUAUAUGCAUGCAUCUAGGGCUGUCAAUGACUUGGGACAGCCUGGAUGAUGGAAGACCUGACGCAAAAAACUAGCACGCUCAGGUUUUAGGGCCAUUGGCUGGGCUUAGGCCUGAAAGUAGAGGCCCAAAUAUUUUUUGGGUUGAGUCCCGGCGGAAAAUUUGAUAAAAAAAUAAAUAGGGCCAGUUUUUGCACCUGGCCAGGCUUGAAAACAAGAAUUCUCCUAGUAGGGUCGGGCCAGUCUCGGGUCUGAUGUUUAAACUUCCACCUUGCUUAGGCUCAAGGCCCAACCCGCCAUUGAGAACCCUCGACCCGCCUAGGACAUUAUGCAGUAAAAUAUAAAAAUAAAACUUUUAUCUGUUGCUGUAGACUUCUAUACGAUGUUUGUUACUAAGUAGCUAAUAAUUAAGAGGAAUACACUGUUAGAAACUUAGAGGGCAGGAUGUUUUAUCUAGGGUGCUGCACCGACUUCAGAAUUUCUUUGGAAUGUAGCUGCCAUGCCUCCUUCCUGGGUCGGUUUACUAUAAAUGUUUCGUGAGAUCUCCACUCUGUCAUUUCUGCUUAAGAAAACUAAGCUGUGAGAGUUGAGGUUUGUUCCAACUAGAAAUUAGCUUAACUAAUUUCCAGUCUAAACACAGUUUUAACAUAAUUUUGGAUGCUUUGGCUGAAGCUCGUCCAAGAUAGGAACAUAUAACCAUAAAACUUUUGGUGCCAAAGAGAGAAAAAGAACUUGUUAUGUUUUGGUUACCUAUAGGUCUGCAAGUUGAUUUUGAUCAUACUAAACAUUUACUUUGAUCACUAUUUGGUGUACGAAGUGGUUAAAAAUGUUAAUUCCAUUCCUGUAACUGAUUUUUCAUGUAAAUACUGAUUUGAAUACAGUGACUGAUUAUUAUUUAUAUCGAUUUUGAUAUUUUUGCUGUUGUCAUGUAUGUGUAUUUGAUUACUAGCUUAUUUUUCUUAGCAUAACAUUGAAAAGGAAUGUACACCUAGAUUGUGGGUGAUGACUUUAUAAUGAUCUCUGUAUGAUAGCCAGUUUUGCAUUAGUGGCUAAGAAGUCUUGUUAUAUCAGAUGGUGCAAGAGUAUUAUCAUAAUGUUUUAAAGCUCACUACAGGAUGAAAACAAGAUAAUAUUUGUGCAUGUAUGCUGUGAUUAUGUGGAAGGAUAUACCUUUGAUACCAUAAGUUGGUUUAAGUUUGUUUCUUGCUUGUCUGUUCUAGAAAUCUGUUAAAAAAAAGUUUUUUUAUUUUAAAAUUAAUUUAAAAAAUGAGACUAUUGUAUCGGCUGUUGUCCUGUCUAAAAUUUGUCAAGGAAAUGGCUAUUUUCGUUAGGUGAUUUCACUUCUAGAUAGCACAUUACCUUUUUAAUAUUAUCUUUUGAUUAGAAGGGAUAAAUUUAUGAAGAAUACUGUUUAAAGGCCAAACUAUCUUUCAGAAUUAUAUCUUGACUUUGUCAAAUUGGCUAGCCAGCUUGCGGCCUUUAAUGCUUGAUUGGCUGUAAAUUCUGUAUACGCCAUUGGCUGACUUUAGAUUGACUAUUAGCAUCACUCUAAACAAUUUUACUGCUGCAUUUCUGAAGGUUGAAUCAGAAAUAUUUUGCCUUCAUGGUGGUCUGUCUCCACAUAUUGACACUCUCGAUGGUAUACGUAACUUUGAUCGUGUUCAAGAAGUUCCUCAUGAGGGUGCAAUGUGCGAUCUCCUAUGGUCUGACCCCGAUGACCGAUGUGGUUGGGGUAUUUCUCCUCGUGGUGCUGGAUAUACCUUUGGUCAAGUACAUGACUGACUUCUUAUCUUUCGUAAUGUAUGUUUGAAAUUAAUCCAUGUUUUCAUUCAUUCUAUUUGGUUAAUGUCAGGAUAUAUCAGAGCAAUUCAAUCAUACCAACAACCUUAAACUAAUAGCUAGAGCUCAUCAAUUAGUCAUGGAGGGAUAUAACUGGGGACAUGUAUGUAUUUGUUCUUUGUUUUGUUUAGUUUCUUCUUUUGUGCUAGCCGUUCCAUUUAGUUUGUUCUUUUAUGCUAGCCGUUCUUUAGGUCCAAUUGUAUUCUUAUCAUAUUCUUAUUGAACAGGAACAAAAGGUGGUAACCAUAUUUAGUGCACCUAACUAUUGCUACCGAUGCGGGAACAUGGCAUCCAUCUUGGAAGUUGAUGACUGCAAAGGACACACAUUUAUCCAGGUCUUGCUCUUUCCAUCCAUCCCUCACUCUAUACAUCUUGUUGUUUCAUUUAGUCCUUUUUUCUCCUCAAAUUAUCUGUGUGGAUGAUGGAUGCUAACACUUGUUAACUUUUUGUCUCUGACCUGGUCAAUGUUUACUAACAGAUGUAAGCACCUACCAACAUAAACCUGUUUUUCAGAAAAAUAAUUGUUUAUUGAUUCAAGUUUCCAAAUGAUGUAUUGGUCUUUUUUCUUCAGAGGACUAAGUCAUGUGAUUGACUUUAUUUUCAGAUACGAUAAUUUUUGAAACCUUUGAUUGGAACUAAAAGAAAGGAAGACUGAGAAUUUUGGAUCUGCUGACUUUUGAACCUUUUAAUUAGAUUUGAUUUAAAUUUUGUAGAUUGUAACAUAAAAAAAUUAGAGGAAAUAAGAAAGAAAGAUAUAUGGGGUGGGGGGAGAGCAUUUUAAAGAUAAAUCUCAUUGAAGUGCUGUUACACAUCAUUAAAAUGAAUAAAAUUUGUAUGAAGCAACUGGAAACAAGUUCAGAAAAUGAUAAUCUCGAAACUAUGGUACGUCGUACGGGCCCGAACCGGGCGGUACGGGGCAUAUCGUACUAUACUGGUUCGAUACUAGCACCUGGUAUGGGUGGCGUACUGACACUCGGUAUACCAAAAAAAUUCUGUACUACACCAUACCAACACUGCUAGUGUGGCACUGGUACAGGGUCCGGUACUGAGAUGGCGAAUCUUGCUCAGAACAGAUAAUCUAAACUAGUGAUAAUUUUAUGGGAUCAUAUAUUAGGCAAUAGCGCUUAAGAUUCCCUAGUAUAGAGCUAUGUAAGUACCCUGAAGUUGCUUCCUUUGCGACAUGAACAUCGGAUUUAGUGCAAUUGGUGCCCUUUUCUCUCCUAUGUCAAUACCUGUACCUCAAGCCUAUUGUAUGAGACCAUGUUAGGUUACACAAUAUUAAAAAAAUGGAGCAAGAUAAUUUAUUCUAAAUAAGUUAUGCAAAGAUUUUACUCAAAUUGUUGUCUAGUUGAGAAUGCUUUAGUUGGAGUAGCUAAAUCUUUAUUUGGUUACUAAGGUUGAAUGUCCCCAAAUCUGAAAUAAAGUGAUCUUUCCUUCUGGAAGCACGGGUUUACCCUUCAGAUCUGAUCAAGCAACAAGACUAAGUUCAAUGGCCUGAUGCAUGAGUUAGCACCAGAUGAAUAUGUAAUAGAGCUUUAUUAAUUAAUAUGUAGAAUAUAUUUAUAACCAUAAUCAUAAUUGUAAGCAUUAAGCCUUACCCUAAACUGAUUUGGCUUUAUGAAUAUCUAUCACUAAGAACUCCUAUAACGGCCUUUAAUGUUAUUUCAAGCUUUUCUAUAUACUUUAUCUUAAUAGUAAAGCAUAUACAUUAUUAUAAUAUUAAGUAUAGUUUCCAAUAGUUGCAUCAAUGGAUUUGUCGAGGUUUACCAGAUCUAACCGCCUGGUUCACUCAGUGCUAUUUUGUACCAACAACGAACCGGGAUGAUUUGUGGUCUUAGUCCAAGUUUGUGCCCAAACUAGUGUGAACUAGUCCAUACCAGGCCGAACCACUCAGAACCGAGCAAUUUUUAGGGAAAAAGGGCCCAAUGCCCUUAGCUCUCUUUGUUUCAAGGUAAAGAUAGAAGGAAAGGAAAGAGAGAGGGAGAGAGUGGAAGGGUAAUUUAUGCCAAAAUUUUGUUUUUUGGCAUGAUUUGUGAUAUGUUGGAGAUCUUAGUGAGAUCUAUGCAAUAGUAUAGGCUUUUUGAUUUUUUUAUGUUUAUUUGAUUUUUUAUUUAAAAAAAUAUUUUUGGAAAAACUAAUAUAAAAGAAAAAAAGGAGUUGUUAGGUUCCAAAAUUAAAGUGUAUUGUAUUAAAUAUCAGAAAAAACCCUAUUUUUCACUCAAAAAAACUAAAUAAAGGAAACUUAUUAAUGUCGAAACCAAUUUUUUUUGGGUAUAUCAUAUGGUUAAGUAUGAUGGUGUGGUAUUGGUCUGCUACUAGUAUGCGGUCUUGUAUCGAGACUGUGAACCUUGGCUAUAAUAUUAUUAUAACAUGUACUACAUUAUUUAUCAUAUUAUGUAUGCUAUUUAACUUAUCCUAAAAUUAUUAUUAUACAUUAUUGUUAUUGUUUGUUUUUUUUGUUAUUUCUUACAGCCAAAUUAGGAUCCACAACACCAGUCCCAAAAUGGUGGGACCAAGGUGGAUGACAUGGUUACUUCUGGUUAUUUUGUACAUAAUAAAGGGAAAUGAGGAAUGCAGAAGAGAAAUCUCUUCAUGGGAUUGGGAAUUGGCUGGGCAGGCAUAAGAAAUUGGGAUAAAUUUGAGAGAUUCUAUUCAAAUUAGCAGAUGGAAUAGCACUAAACCACUGAAAUAAGCAAUUAUUUUUCUACCUCCUGUUUUCAAAACCUCUGAAAAUUCAUUUCCAGGAAAAAAGAAUAAAUAUAUCCCAAAACACAAUUUUCUUGUCGCCUUUAUUUAGGCUCUGAAGAGAGGUCCUAUGAAAUUGUUUGGAGGCUAAGUGAUGGAACUAAAUUAAGAGAGGCAUAUGCAGGGUGAAUAGUGAGGCUUGUACAAGGUGCAUAAUUUGUACUGAUACCAUUGAUGAGGGGCAUUAAAAUUAUGCCUUGGAUACUUUAAUUUCCAUUCAAUGAAGUGCUUAGUUCUUUUAUAUGUUCUGAAUGAUAUUUUAUGUGAACUUAGUUUGGUAAAAUGUCUAACUUUGUACCCUUGAUUUUACAUAAUGCCAAAGUAGGCAAUAGUUUGAUAAUUUUUUCCCAAGUUUUGUGUGGAUUUUGUUAUUUUUUAUGUACAUUUCUUAUUUCUUGCUCUUCUUGCACAUUGAAUUCUUUGUUUUCCUUCAGUCUUUGGUUUUGUCGGAAAAUCCUUAACUUCUUCAUUGCACCUUGGCUCAUUAAAGAACCAAACACCUCGCGUUAGAUAUCCUUUUUUUCUAAAUAAUGAAUUUAAAAAAAGUAGAAAAUAAACUUGAAUAUUAAUUUUAUUUAAGUAUGUAGGACUCACGAUCUUCAAUUAGGCCUUAGGUGCUGGUUUAAAUGCUUGGAUUGUUAUUCGUUUAUGUGAUUAUCCAGAAUUGCAUGUUGAGGUGAUUUUGUUUUGUGUCAUACUUGUCAUUCCUUUCAUACCGAACCACCUCUCUUUGCAUUGGAACCCAAACCUGAAGCGAACUGUUUUAGCUACCCUCACAUAACAUGUUUUGGUCAAAACAGUUGUUUUGCAGAAACAUUUGGAAUCUAGAAAUAUUAAAUGAGAACCUGCCCACCAAAACAUGGUCACCCUUUUCCAUAAGGCAUGUAGUCCACGUAUUUUGUAGUCGAUGUUACAGUUGCUUGUUGAUGCACAGGUUGGCUCAGACCUACCCAGGUGCUUCAUUGUGUCAAAAUUGCUGUACUAGUUUUUUGUUGCAUUUCGCUCGAGUAUUGAGGUUGUGUAGGUGGCCUGCUCUGCCACCUUUAUUAUAAUGAUCUUGGAUGCUGCACAUUUUCUUCCUAUUGCUUUGGUUUCAAAAGAUGGAUGUGUUUGUUAAAACAAAAGAGAGAAAAAAAAAGAUCAGGGUUCAAUCAUAUCACUUUAUUUCUGCUAUUUGAGUUAAUAUGUUUUGCCUUUCAUUUUCUAGUUAGCUGGUUGACUAUUGAAAACACACAAAGUUAUCUCAGAUAUCUCUGUACCUUUCUUUUUCUUUUCCCCCCUCCCCACACAUAUGGAACGCAAUUGGACACAUUCUUUUUAAAUGUCUGGUCUGAAACCAAGACUUCACCGACAACUCAGUAAAAGGCCAUCA
RNAcentral lists this long non-coding RNA (22411 nucleotides) under Phoenix dactylifera (date palm). RNAcentral describes it as "long non-coding RNA (PDAC_LNC003223)". The record is from RNAcentral. Lineage: Eukaryota; Viridiplantae; Streptophyta; Magnoliopsida; Arecales; Arecaceae.